Molecule: long non-coding RNA, 3028 nt
Organism: Zingiber officinale
Lineage: Eukaryota; Viridiplantae; Streptophyta; Magnoliopsida; Zingiberales; Zingiberaceae
Exons: 3
Source: RefSeq, a predicted model, not a curated record
ACUUUGCUCGAAACCUUCUCCGCCUCUCUUCGCGACUUCUCCCCCGAAACCCUUCCCUAUCACCCUUCGCGACUUCUCCCCCCAAAACCCUUCCCCGUUGCCCUUGUCAACCACUCCUCCUUAUCCUCGGCUCCUUCUCCUCAUACAACCUCCUCUCAUUUUCGCUGAGAGAUCCUCUCCUCCUCCGGCCCUUCCUCUGUUGAGCGCGCCCUCGACAACGCUAGCAUCUAGGUCUCCGCACUUUUGCUUUUCUUUUAUCAAUUUUAUUCUUUGAAAAAAUAUCAUGGUCAUGCGUUGGUUGGGGUUUUGCCUGAGUCUGUUGUUCUAUCGCCAUUAUGACGGCCACCAAGGAAUCAUCUCUAUCCUCACUUACUUCCCACGUCUGCCUUCAAUGAUCAUUUCAUUCUACCUUCUAAUGUUUUUUCACUCAGGGUUCCUUCCACUGCUCGGAUGACUCUGUGUUUCGCUUUGAUCCCAAGAAAAAAAGUGAUAGGUGCCUUAAAGAUUGGAUUUUUAGCAACAAAAACACAAGUUUUAACUACGACUUUUGGUCAUUUGAUGAUAGUAUGCAGGAUCACGUAGCGAUGACUAUUACCAUUGAAGCCCAGUUUAACUCUCUAGAACUUAUCUGAAGGGCAUUGUUUGGCGACGUCUUCAAAGGGUUUAACAAGGAGAUGAGCAAAGAGGUUGCAAGGAGGAUGAUAUUGUAGAUAUUCAAAAGGUUAGUUUUAAUUGUUCUUCUAAAUUACUACUAUUUCUAAUAAAAAGCAUGCCUUGUAGGAAAUAUCAGUUGUGUCCAAAUCACCAUACAUUACUCACUACGAUAGUUCUUAUUUCAACCAAACAAAACUAUGGAUCAUUUGAAAUAAUGACCAGUGGUUUGGUUGCCAAUCUGGUGAGUUCGAUCAUACAAUUUCUUCUUUAAUUGUAGCUCAUGACACUCAUAAUUAUGGGGUUGCAACCAUUUACUAUGUUUUUGCUCUUUCAAAAGAAUGCAUUUAUUCCAUAUUUAUAAUUCAUAACAAUUAUAAUUCUAAGUUUUUAGAUUUUCUUUAGUACAAGACAGAAACUUACAUUGUUUGUGUAUAUAUUUUCUUAAGUAACUAUAGAAAUCUAAAAUUUUAAGUAGUAUAUUCAAGAUUGUGUAAAAUGUUCUCUUAGCUUCAACCCGGUCACCCUUUGAAUGAAAUCUCUAUCAUUUACAUUUUGUGAGACUUGAUGCAUGCAAUCGAGUAUCUACAUGGCGAAGGAAAGAUUCACUGAGAUAUAAAAGGUAAUGCUUUCAUUGUUCCUCCGCUGAUGUUCAUGUAACAAUGCCUCAAGUUUCAGCUAGUAUUUAAGAUUUUGAUGUUCUGCAGCUGCAAACAUUCUUCUAACUAAAAAAAGGAGAUGUUAAGGUUGUUGGUGCAAUCGACCUAGGAUUGAUCAGGGUCGAUCAUUGUUUUGAUGUGUGUAUCAAAAAGUUUAAGUUAAGUUUCAUAUUAGUUUGAUAUGUGUUUGAGUCAUGCAGGACUUGGUGAAACACACAUGAGGAGUUUGAUGCGGCUAAGGUUGGGAAGCUCAUUGUAUGGUUCGGAUCCAUGAGAUCGGUGAAGGAUGGUGCAUCCGAGGGACCGCGGACAAGGAGCAAUGGAGUGAAGUCGAAGGAAGUAGACUUCAAGGCAACGCUAAGGAUGGCACGAAGAGGAGUCGCAGGCUCGGGUGCAUCUGAGGGAAGAAGGCCGAGGAAGAGGGCUUCAAGGGCGACUCCGGAGAGGAUGAGUGUUGAGUGUGUAACCGAACCAGUCGACUGCUAGAAGUGACAGUCGACUGGUCCAAUCGACUAUGCAGUCGACUGGGAGCGAACAAAAGUAUUCUGUUCACUUAGCCAACAAUGACCAGUCGACUGAUAUUUUACCAGUCGACUGGUAAGUAGUCGUUGGUAAACCGUUGACACUGCAAAGUAGCCGUUGGCUACCUCCAACGGUAGCACCAGUCAACUGAUGGAAGUGCCAGUCGACUGUUGCCGAGAUGAGUUGAUAUGAUGAUCAACUCUCUUCUCUUAUUUAUAGGAAGGUUUGAGGCAUGAAGAAGGUUACUGAUACUUGUUGAAGAACUCCUUAGUCAUUGCUCAAAGCUUCCAAAGCACACUCUCUUCCUCCCAAGCCUAAACUUCAUCUUGUAAAGAGGAAGAGGUCUUUUGUGAGAGGUUUGCUCCACCGAGAAGGAGAAAGCUCUAGUCGGAGAUUAUCGAGGAUUGAUCCACUGAAGGAUUAAGGGUUCGUCCACCUCAAGGACACGCCGUGGAUUAGGAGCAAGCAAUCUCCGAACCACGUAGAGGAAUCGUGUUAGUGUUUGCAUUCUUGUUUGCCUUCAUUGCUUUAGUUUUUGUAUUUCUACUUGUGCACUAACGUUUUGUAGAGAAGCAAUCGAAUUGGGGGGUGACCUAGCUAUUCAACCCUCCUUUUAACCGGCCACCGAGCCCCUACAAAGGUAUGUUUUUUGAUUUUGUUCUAUUCCUUCACAUGUAAAUCUGGAUAUGCUACAAGUGCAAGUAUCAUGUUUCUAAAUUAGUUUAUAGAUUUUGGUGUUUCUGCACAAGUAUCAUAGACAAUUUCUAGAAGGCUAGCAAAUGCAUGAGAUUAUGAUCACUGCGAAGGAGAGUUCCAUUGGAGGUUUCAGUCCUAGAGUGGUUUUUUUGAUAAGAAGCUCAAUGUAAAUUCUUUUCAACAAAUUUCCAGGUAAGAAGCUUAAGGUAAACUCUUGAUAAGAAGCUCAAGGUAAACUCUUGCCAAGUUUUCAUUACAGGCAAGGUUAAUGGUUUUGACGGAUACAUCAACCAUGGGUCACCUAUGCACCAAACUGAUGUGCUGGACUUACUAGAACUGGAAGUCAGUGAAAUUGUGUCAAUAUGCACUUUCUAUUGUGGCUGGCCAAACAUAUUCAAUAGGUUUUUAACUUGCAUAUAUGUGUUAGUGUAAUGAAAUACUUAUAAUAUGUUCUGUACAAUCACUAUCAGUUAAUGAGUAAUACCUUGUUUUCAUCAUUA